RNAcentral lists this long non-coding RNA (483 nucleotides) under Salmo salar (Atlantic salmon). RNAcentral describes it as "lncRNA (ENSSSAG00000083815.1)". Lineage: Eukaryota; Metazoa; Chordata; Actinopteri; Salmoniformes; Salmonidae. The record is from RNAcentral.
UCUAGUGAGAAUCAUUGUAUUGUUGUAGACUAGUCUAGAGAGGUUCAUUGUAUUGUUGUAGACUAGUCUAGGGAGGUUCAUUGUAUUGUUGUAGACUAGUCUAGGGAGGAUCAUUGUACUGUUGUAGACUAGUGCAGGUAGGAUCAUUGUAUAGUUGUUGACUAGUCUCGGGAGGAUCAUUGUCUUGUUGUAGACUAGUCUAGGGAGGAUCAUUGUAUUGUUGUAGACUAGUCUGGAGAGGAUCUUUGUAUUGUAUUGUUGUAGACUAGUCUAGGGAGGAUCAUUGUAUUGUUGUAGACUAGUCUAGAGAGGAUCAUUGUAUUGUUGUAGGCUAGUCUAGUUGAGGAUCAUUGUAUUGUAUUGUUGUAGACUAGUCUAGGGAGGAUCAUUGUAUUGUUGUAGACUAGUCUAGGGAGGAUCAUUGUAUUGUAUUGUUGUAGACUAGUGUAGAGAGGAUCAUUGUAUUGUUACAGACUUGUCUAG